GAGUUUGAUCGUGGCUCAGGACGAACGCUGGCGGCGUGCUUAACACAUGCAAGUCGAGCGGAAAGGCCACUUCGGUGGUACUCGAGCGGCGAACGGGUGAGUAACACGUGAGUAAUCUGCCCUCCACUUUGGGAUAGCCACCGGAAACGGUGAUUAAUACCGGAUAUGACCUUCGCCUGCAUGGGUGUUGGUGGAAAGUUUUCGGUGGGGGAUGUGCUCGCGGCCUAUCAGCUUGAUGGUGGGGUAAUGGCCUACCAUGGCUUCGACGGGUAGCCGGCCUGAGAGGGUGACCGGCCACACUGGGACUGAGACACGGCCCAGACUCCUACGGGAGGCAGCAGUGGGGAAUAUUGGACAAUGGGCGGAAGCCUGAUCCAGCAACGCCGCGUGAGGGAUGACUGCCUUCGGGUUGUAAACCUCUUUCAGCACAGACGAAGCGAAAGUGACGGUAUGUGCAGAAGAAGCACCGGCCAACUACGUGCCAGCCGCCGCAGUAAU
RNAcentral lists this ribosomal RNA (498 nucleotides) under uncultured bacterium. Its description in RNAcentral is "bacterial SSU rRNA". It matches the Rfam family "Bacterial small subunit ribosomal RNA", at positions 9 to 524 of the family's 1533-position model. The record is from RNAcentral.